GCUACAAUGGGAAGGGACAAUAGGGUUGCGAAGCCGCGAGGCGGAGCCAAUCCAAGCAAAACUUCCUCAGUUCAGAUUGCAGGCUGCAACUCGCCUGCAUGAAGUUGGAGUUGCUAGUAAACGCAGGUCAGCCAUACUGCGUUGAAUACGUUCCCGGGGCUU
This 162-nucleotide ribosomal RNA is filed under the name uncultured Anaerolineaceae bacterium. Its description in RNAcentral is "partial 16S ribosomal RNA". It matches the Rfam family "Bacterial small subunit ribosomal RNA", at positions 1224 to 1382 of the family's 1533-position model. The record is from RNAcentral. Lineage: Bacteria; Bacillati; Chloroflexota; Anaerolineae; Anaerolineales; Anaerolineaceae.